CAUAAUAGCCAUAUCGCCCUGCGGCCCAAGACCGGUUACUCACUGAACCUAAGCAGGGCUGAGCCUGGUUAGUACCUGAAUGAGAGAGCAGAUGGGAAAACUAGGUUGCUGUUGGAA
Molecule: ribosomal RNA, 117 nt
Organism: Danio rerio (zebrafish)
Lineage: Eukaryota; Metazoa; Chordata; Actinopteri; Cypriniformes; Danionidae
Source: Ensembl